RNAcentral lists this ribosomal RNA (460 nucleotides) under uncultured bacterium. RNAcentral describes it as "partial 16S ribosomal RNA". It matches the Rfam family "Bacterial small subunit ribosomal RNA", at positions 338 to 795 of the family's 1533-position model. The record is from RNAcentral.
CCUACGGGGAGCAGCAGUGAGGAAUAUUGGUCAAUGGACGAGAGUCUGAACCAGCCAAGUAGCGUGAAGGAUGACUGCCCUAUGGGUUGUAAACUUCUUUUAUAUGGGAAUAAAAUGUUCCACGUGUGGGAUUUUGUAUGUACCAUAUGAAUAAGGAACGGCUAACUCCGCGCCAGCAGCCGCGGUAAUACGGAGGUUCCGAGCGUUAUCCGGAUUUAUUGGGGUUCAAGGGAGCGUCGUUGGGUUGUUAAGUCAGUUGUUACCGUUUGCGGCUCAACCGUAAAAUUGCAAUUGAUACUGGCAGCCUUGAGUACAGUUGAGGUAGGCGGAAUUCGUGGUGUAGCGGUGAAAUGCUUAGAUAUCACGAAGAACUCCGAUUGCGAAGGCAGCUUACUAAACUGCCACUGACAUUGCUGCUCGAACGUGUGGGUAUCAAACAGGAUUAGAUACCCCAGUAGUC